CCUACGGGAGGCAGCAGUGGGGAAUAUUGCUCAAUGGGCGCAACCCUGAAGCAGCCACGCCGCGUGAAGGAUGACGGUUCUCGGAUUGUUAACCUCUUUUUAUAGAGAAGAUAAUGACGGUACCUGACCCAUAAGCACCGGCUCACUUCGUGCAAGCUGCGGCGGUAAUACGCAGGGAGCCAGCGUUAUUCGGAAUUACUGGGUGUAAAGCGAGCGUAGGCGGUUUAGUAAGUCAGAUGUGAAAUCCUGGGGCUUAACCGUAGAACUGCAUUUGAAACUGUUAGUCUAGAGUACGGUAGAGGUAGGCGGAAUUCGUGGUGUAGCGGUGAAAUGCGUAGAGAUCAAGAGGAAUACCGAUUGCGAAGGCGGCCUGCUAGAAUGUAACUGACGUUGAUGCUCGAAAGCGUGGGGAGCAAACAGGAUUAGAUACCCUAGUAGUC
RNAcentral lists this ribosomal RNA (440 nucleotides) under uncultured bacterium. Its description in RNAcentral is "partial 16S ribosomal RNA". It matches the Rfam family "Bacterial small subunit ribosomal RNA", at positions 338 to 795 of the family's 1533-position model. The record is from RNAcentral.